Molecule: small nuclear RNA, 106 nt
Filed under: Mnemiopsis leidyi (sea walnut)
Lineage: Eukaryota; Metazoa; Ctenophora; Tentaculata; Lobata; Bolinopsidae
Source: RNAcentral
GCCAAAUAACUUCGGUAGUGCAUAUACGAAAAUUGGAACGAUACAGAGAAGAUUAGCAUGGCCCCCUGCGCAGGGAUUUUUUGAAAACUUCAUUUACCACACUUAU